RNAcentral lists this long non-coding RNA (1197 nucleotides) under Durio zibethinus. RNAcentral describes it as "long non-coding RNA (DZIB_LNC000923)". Lineage: Eukaryota; Viridiplantae; Streptophyta; Magnoliopsida; Malvales; Malvaceae. The record is from RNAcentral.
CAUAUAUAUACAAAUUAUAAAAAUUAUAUAUAUGUGAAUUUAGGGAUGAUCGAAUCAAACUCGAACUUUAAAUAAUUUAUUCAUGAUCUAAUUCAAAAUUUAAAUAAAUCUAAAAAUUGUGUCCAAAUUUAUUUAAUAAAUUUUAAUUUUUAAUCAAAAUUCUCUAAAAAAUUGAACGAACUAUUAAGUUUGAAUAGAAUAAUCUGAUCUUUAAACAGGACUAGAAGCAACCAUGACAAUCUCUUUCGUCCAUGCUUUUUUUUUUUUCCUUCAAUCACCAAAACCCUCAUUUACUUGUAAAUUUCUUUAUGUAGCUACCAAGAACUGAAAAAUGAGAUUACAAUCCAAUAACAUCCAUAUCAAAAUGGGGGCAACAAUGGAAGCAAAAUGAGACAAAUUAAAUGUCUCAUCGAAUAGAGCACCUUAGGCACAUGAAUCAUAUGAAGAACACCUCACAUAUUUGUUCUUUCCUUGUUGAUGCCAUGUUUACAUCAUAGCUAAUUUUAUUACCAUUAAAAAAAUUUUUCACAAGCCCUCAUAAAAGACUUCUCCACAAGCUUUCCCUAUGCAAAUCAAACCAUGUUAGAGGCAAGUCUGAAGAGAGGUGCUUAAAUUGGUUAACAUGAUCUGGAAAAGUAAUGGAUUUGAAGUAUUUUCAAAGACUUUUCUUUGGAUUUAAAAUUAUGAUACCAUGACAAACUUUGUGAACAGGAGUUGGAGGCGUUAGAUAUUUAUAGGUAGGGAAAGAGAGAUAAUAAUGAGAUAAAAGGUAAAGAGAAAAAAAGAAAAUAUGGAUUAUUUUUCAUUUGAAUUAAACAUGGAAAAUUGAUUUUCUCUUAACCAUCAAAACAAUAAAAAUAAAAUUUUUAAUCUCUUUCAAAUUUUUUUUUUAAUUUUUUGGAAAGUUGUUUUUGUUUACCAAACCAAGCUUAAAUAAUUAAUUAUGUAAAUUUCUCUCCAGAUUAAGAAGUAAAAAGACAAUUGGCUUUUACAACUGUCCCUUACCAAAAAUACAUAACUCACUUUAUAUUUUUCUAAGGAAGAUAUGUAGUAUAAUUCAUUGCAAGCAAGCCACAUGACAUAUUUGCAGAUAGCAACUAAAGCACUUUACCCUAUAUAAAAGCAUGUUUGACACUAGUAGUAAUAAUAAUUAUAUAAACAAACAUCAGCUAACAUAUAGGUUAUUGAAAAGACAAA